CAUAGGUAGUGGGUUUGGGAAUUAUUGGAGCCACGAAAGCGAAUCUUCAUAAGGUAAUUGUCAUUGCUUAUGGACCCGAACAUAAGUGAUCUAUCUAUGAACAAGAUAAAGCCUGAAUGAAACUAAGUGGAGGUCUGAAUCAACAUACGUUGAAGGAUCAACAACUGAGUUGUGGUCGAUGGUGAAAUGUCACUUGAACUAAGAGCUAGCUUG
RNAcentral lists this non-coding RNA (213 nucleotides) under Amborella trichopoda. Lineage: Eukaryota; Viridiplantae; Streptophyta; Magnoliopsida; Amborellales; Amborellaceae. The record is from Rfam by way of RNAcentral.